RNAcentral lists this ribosomal RNA (284 nucleotides) under Blastocystis sp. RNAcentral describes it as "partial 18S ribosomal RNA". It matches the Rfam family "Eukaryotic small subunit ribosomal RNA", at positions 42 to 348 of the family's 1831-position model. The record is from RNAcentral. Lineage: Eukaryota; Bigyra; Opalinata; Blastocystidae.
GAUUAAGCCAUGCAUGUGUAAGUAUAAAUAGUUAACUUUGAAACUGCGAAUGGCUCAUUAUAUCAGUUAUAGUUUAUUUGAUGAAGAAUACUAAUUGGAUAACCGUAGUAAUUCUAGAGCUAAUACAUGUAUAAAGUCUUGUAGACUGCAUUUAUUAGAAUGAAAACCAUAGGUUUCGGCCUAUUCGUGAGUAAUAAUAACUAAUCAUAUCGUAUGCUUAAGUAACGAUGUGUCUUUCAAGUUCGCCCUAUCAGCUUUCGAUGGUAGUGUAUUGGACUACCAUG